GAUGAACGCUGGCGGCGUGCCUAAUACAUGCAAGUCGAGCGAACAGACGAGGAGCUUGCUCCUCUGACGUUAGCGGCGGACGGGUGAGUAACACGUGGAUAACCUACCUAUAAGACUGGGAUAACUUCGGGAAACCGGAGCUAAUACCGGAUAAUAUAUUGAACCGCAUGGUUCAAUAGUGAAAGACGGCUUUGCCGUCACUUUUAGAUGGAUUCGCGCCGCAUUAGCUAGUUGGUAAGGUAACGGCUUACCAAGGCAACGAUGCGUAGCCGACCUGAGAGGGUGAUCGGCCACACUGGAACUGAGACACGGUCCAGACUCCUACGGGAGGCAGCAGUGGGGAAUAUUCCGCAAUGGGCGAAAGCCUGACGGAGCAACGCCGCGUGGGUGAUGAAGGUCUUCGGAUCGUAAAACUCUGUUAUUAGGGAAGAAAAAAUGUGUAAGUAACUAUGCACGUCUUGACGGUACCUAAACAGAAAGCCACGGCUAACUACGUG
RNAcentral lists this ribosomal RNA (497 nucleotides) under uncultured bacterium. RNAcentral describes it as "partial 16S ribosomal RNA". It matches the Rfam family "Bacterial small subunit ribosomal RNA", at positions 28 to 507 of the family's 1533-position model. The record is from RNAcentral.